RNAcentral lists this ribosomal RNA (243 nucleotides) under uncultured bacterium. Its description in RNAcentral is "partial 16S ribosomal RNA". It matches the Rfam family "Bacterial small subunit ribosomal RNA", at positions 529 to 771 of the family's 1533-position model. The record is from RNAcentral.
AGGGAGCAAGCGUUAUCCGGAUUUCUUGGGUGUAAAGGGUGCGUAGACGGGAUAACAAGUUAGUUGUGAAUCCCCUCGGCUUAACUGAGGAACUGCAACUAAAACUAUUAUUCUUGAGUGCAGGAGGGGAAAGUGGAAUUCCUAGUGUAGCGGUGAAAUGCGUAGAUAUUGGGAAGAACACCAGUGGCGAAGGCGACUUUCUGGACUGUAACUGACGUUGAGGCACGAAAGUGUGGGGAGCAA